Molecule: long non-coding RNA, 1022 nt
Filed under: Callithrix jacchus (white-tufted-ear marmoset)
Lineage: Eukaryota; Metazoa; Chordata; Mammalia; Primates; Cebidae
Description: lncRNA (ENSCJAG00000072945.1)
Source: RNAcentral
GCUACAUGCAUGAGCUCAGUGGCUUAGAGAGGAGGUGGGUGUGUGCUGUGACUUCUCAAAUACCCUCCCUUCCUUCCUUCUGCUUUGCCCUCUUUGAUGAGGGUGGGGAGGGGAAAGGCUCUUCCUAGGUGUCCUUUUCUUAUCUCUUUUCCAAUGGUUGUACAUUGAUGGACCUCGUUGAUCUUGGCUUUGGUAUGGAGGAAUGGAAACCCUAACAUGACCCCAAGGGCCUGUUGAUGGAACUUGGCCACUUCUGAGUUUUGCGAGCCUGGACCACGUAUUUCAGAUACCCUCCGCUGGACUCCUCAUGCCACAUUUCUCUGAUGUCUCCUUAGUUUGGCCCAUGCCGUUGGGUUAGCCGCAGCCCCAGUCAGGUUAACUUGCAGCCCCAGUCUCCAUACUUCUUGGCCUCAUCACUGGACCUACAGAUGCAGGUAGCUCCAUCGUUAGUUUUUCUGGUAACUGGCACCAAUCUUCCCUCGGUUAUUGCUGCCUGGGGUUAGGAAGUUUGGGUAGGUUGGAAAGCCCAAGGACUAAGAAACCAACCAAACAACCUGUUAGCCUCCCUUACUUAUAAACUCCUCCAAACUUGAUAGGUGACUCUGAGGAUACCCACUUCCUUGGCCUUGGGAGGGGAACCCUUUCUCUUCUAACAAACAGCCUUUCUGAGUUCCCAUGCCUUCUCUUUCAUCCGUUCCAUGAGUUCCCAUGCCUUCUCUUCCAUUCAUUCCUGACAAACACCUGCAAGCCAGGAUUGUGGCUCUGUCCCUGAGCGGUGGAGUCUUCUUUGAAUCCAGCCCUGGAAAAUGUAGAGCCUUCUCUUUCAUUGGGGAUUACACUAGAUCUGGUGUGAUUUGUGUACCUGAAAAGGUCUGGAGAAGAUCCCAGUCAUAUCAGCUUGUUACCGAAUUGCUACUGAAGCUACAGAAACUACAAGAUAGCAUCUGGUCUUUAUUUGCAAAGAGAAAUUAAUGCAUGAAAAUGCUAAGCUAUGGGAAAGCCCCCAGUGUAAAAUAAUAUCC